This 253-nucleotide ribosomal RNA is filed under the name uncultured bacterium. Its description in RNAcentral is "partial 16S ribosomal RNA". It matches the Rfam family "Bacterial small subunit ribosomal RNA", at positions 524 to 776 of the family's 1533-position model. The record is from RNAcentral.
UACAGAGGGUGCUAGCGUUGUUCGGAAUCAUUGGGCGUAAAGGGCGUGUAGGCGGUUUGUUAAGUCAUGUGUGAAAUCCCUCGGCUCAACCGGGGAAGGACGCAUGAAACUGGCAAGCUAGAGUACCAAAGAGGGGGGUGGAAUUCCCGGUGUAGCGGUGAAAUGCGCAGAUAUCAGGAGGAACACCGGUGGCGAAGGCGGAUCUCUGGGCCUUACCUGACGCUGAGGCGCGAAAGCUAGGGGAGCAAACAGG